This 924-nucleotide non-coding RNA is filed under the name Chloroceryle americana (green kingfisher). RNAcentral's name for it is "partial 12S ribosomal RNA". It matches the Rfam family "Bacterial small subunit ribosomal RNA". The record is from RNAcentral. Lineage: Eukaryota; Metazoa; Chordata; Aves; Coraciiformes; Cerylidae.
AAAGACUUAGUCCUAACCUUACUGUUAGUUCUUACCAGAUAUAUACAUGCAAGUAUCCGCACCCCAGUGUAAAUGCCCUUAGCCUCUUAUAAAGACGAAAGGAGCCGGCAUCAGGCUCACCAACUACUAUCGCCCAAGACGCCUUGCUUAGCCACACCCCCACGGGCAUUCAGCAGUAAUUAACAUUAAGCAAUGAGUGUAAACUCGACUUAGUCAUGGUAACAUUAAGGGUUGGUAAAUCUUGUGCCAGCCACCGCGGUCAUACAAGAAACCCAAAUUAACCGUCACACGGCGUAAAGCGUGGCCCACACUCAUAUCACAAUAACUAGGGUAAAAAUGCAACUAAGCUGUCAUAAGCCAAAGAUUCACAUAACCCCCCUAUUAAAACAACCCUAGCACUAUCAAGACUCACCCUCGCCACGAAAGCCAGGGUACAAACUGGGAUUAGAUACCCCACUAUGCCUGGCCCUAAAUCUAGAUGUUCACCACCCACCAAAACAUCCGCCAGAGAAUUACGAGCACAAACGCUUGAAACUCUAAGGACUUGGCGGUACCCCAAACCCACCUAGAGGAGCCUGUCCUAUAAUCGAUAACCCACGAUACACCCGACCACCCCUAGCCCGAGCAGCCUACAUACCGCCGUCACCAGCCCACCUCAUUGAAAGACCUACAGUGAGCACAACAGCCCCUCGCUAACAAGACAGGUCAAGGUAUAGCCAACGGGGUGGAAGAGAUGGGCUACAUUUUCUAAAAUAGAAAACCACGAAAGGAGGCAUGAAACUGUCACCGGAAGGCGGAUUUAGCAGUAAAAUGGGACAAGAAUGCCCCCUUUAAGCCGGCUCUGGGGUACGUACAUACCGCCCGUCACCCUCCUCACAAGCUACCCAUAGCAUAACUAAUACCCAACCUAACUGAAGACGAGGU